UAGCCGUAAACGAUACUCGCUAGGUGUCGGCCACGGUGCGACCGUUGUCGGUGCCGUAGGGAAGCCGUGAAGCGAGCCACCUGGGAAGUACGGCCGCAAGGCUGAAACUUAAAGGAAUUGGGCGGGGGAGCACAACAACGGGUGGAGCUUGCGGUUUAAUUGGAUUCAACGCCGGAAAUCUCACCGGAUAAGACAGCAGAAUGAUUGCCGGGCUGAAGACUCUGCAUGACUAGCUGAGAGGUGGUGCAUGGCGUCAGUGACU
This 262-nucleotide ribosomal RNA is filed under the name uncultured archaeon. RNAcentral describes it as "partial 16S ribosomal RNA". It matches the Rfam family "Archaeal small subunit ribosomal RNA", at positions 748 to 1008 of the family's 1478-position model. The record is from RNAcentral.